GUAUAGAAAGCGAGAAUUUUGCAUCUGGCUUCGGACUAGACUUUGGGGGUGAGAGUCCCUUUCUAUAUU
Molecule: transfer RNA, 69 nt
Filed under: Conus ateralbus
Lineage: Eukaryota; Metazoa; Mollusca; Gastropoda; Neogastropoda; Conidae
Also listed under: 5 other names
Description: tRNA-Arg
Rfam family: tRNA
About the family: Transfer RNA (tRNA) molecules are approximately 80 nucleotides in length. Their secondary structure includes four short double-helical elements and three loops (D, anti-codon, and T loops).
Source: RNAcentral